GUGGGGAAUAUUGGACAAUGGGCGAAAGCCUGAUCCAGCCAUGCCGCGUGUGUGAAGAAGGUCUUCGGAUUGUAAAGCACUUUAAGUUGGGAGGAAGGGCAGUAAGUUAAUACCUUGCUGUUUUGACGUUACCGACAGAAUAAGCACCGGCUAACUUCGUGCCAGCAGCCGCGGUAAUACGAAGGGUGCAAGCGUUAAUCGGAAUUACUGGGCGUAAAGCGCGCGUAGGUGGUUUUGUAAGUUGGAGGUGAAAUCCCCGGGCUCAACCUGGGAACUGCCUCCAAAACUGCAUGACUAGAGUACGGUAGAGGGUAGUGGAAUUUCCUGUGUAGCGGUGAAAUGCGUAGAUAUAGGAAGGAACACCAGUGGCGAAGGCGACUACCUGGACUGAUACUGACACUGAGGUGCGAAAGCGUGGGGAGCAAACAGGAUUAGAAACCCUGGUAUCC
RNAcentral lists this ribosomal RNA (449 nucleotides) under uncultured bacterium. Its description in RNAcentral is "partial 16S ribosomal RNA". It matches the Rfam family "Bacterial small subunit ribosomal RNA", at positions 354 to 795 of the family's 1533-position model. The record is from RNAcentral.